CCAUACAUAUUAGUUCCUAAAUAUGCUAAAUAGCAUGAAUAAUAAAUAAAUAUUAUAUUACAUAAAUAUCUUUUAAUGUUGAAACAUGUCAUUUUAGAAUCUUUUUGUUCUGCAUCACUUAUAUUUUGGUGCAUAAAAAGAAUUCAGAGGAUAAGAUGAUAUAUAGACUCAUAAGAUCAUUAAACAACUUAUCCUGCCUUCUUCCAUCAGAAAUCAAAUUCAGUACCAGAAGAAAUGCUAAUCUACAUGAAAGCCCUAUCCUUACCUUCAAAAUGAGUAUUAAGGUCCACUUUUUUAGGUGAACAUAUUUUUAGCAAUUUUCAUAAAACGAUGUAAUACUCUGAAACUAGUGAUAUAAAGUACCUUGCAGGCGUAAAUUAAGCUGGGAAGAGAAAUGGUGGGAUUUGUGGUGCCGCCACAUCAAUCCAAAAGCUUGAAAUAAACACCAUUUAGGCAUAAGGUUGGAUAAAGAAAUAUUAAGUACUUUUUUUCAGUUGUCUUCUACUAUUAAGUUAAAUAUCCUAUUUUUUAUGCUCCCCAUAGCUUUGGCAAUCAUCACAAAACCAUGUUCUUGUGAUAAUGCAGCAAACAUACUCUAGAUCAAAAUAGGCUGAAGACUUGGUGGCAAACAAUGAGAAGUUAC
This 643-nucleotide long non-coding RNA is filed under the name Carica papaya (papaya). Its description in RNAcentral is "long non-coding RNA (CPAP_LNC013354)". The record is from RNAcentral. Lineage: Eukaryota; Viridiplantae; Streptophyta; Magnoliopsida; Brassicales; Caricaceae.